AUUGAACGCUGGCGGCAUGCCUUACACAUGCAAGUCGAACGCGAAAGGGGGGCAACUCCUGAGUAGAGUGGCGCACGGGUGAGUAAUGCAUCGGAACGUGUCCUGUAGCGGGGGAUAACCUAGCGAAAGCUAGGCUAAUACCGCAUACGUCCUACGGGAGAAAGUGGGGGAUCGUAAGACCUCUCACUAUAGGAGCGGCCGAUGCCGGAUUAGCUAGUUGGUGGGGUAAAAGCCUACCAAGGCGACGAUCCGUAGCUGGUCUGAGAGGAUGAUCAGCCACACUGGGACUGAGACACGGCCCAGACUCCUACGGGAGGCAGCAGUGGGGAAUUUUGGACAAUGGGGGAAACCCUGAUCCAGCCAUGCCGCGUGAGUGAAGAAGGCCUUCGGGUUGUAAAGCUCUUUCGGCCGGGACGAAAUCGCACGCGUGAAUAUCGCGUGUGGAUGACGGUACCGGAAGAAGAAGGACCGGCUAACUACGUGCCAGCCGCCGCAGUAA
RNAcentral lists this ribosomal RNA (499 nucleotides) under uncultured bacterium. RNAcentral's name for it is "partial 16S ribosomal RNA". It matches the Rfam family "Bacterial small subunit ribosomal RNA", at positions 29 to 523 of the family's 1533-position model. The record is from RNAcentral.